GCGUCUCUUCCUACGCUUUUCUAUGCCGUCCAGCGAAUGAGGGUAGCUUGCUACCUGAUUUAUCGGCGGACGGGUGAGUAAUGUAUAGGGAGCUGCCCGAUAGAGGGGGAUACCAGUUGGAAACGACUGUUAAUACCGCAUAAUGACUACUGACCAAACCGUGGGACCUUCGGGCCACAUGCUAUCGGAUGCACCUAUAUGGGAUUAGCUAGUUGGUGGGGUAAUGGCUCACCAAGGCGACGAUCCCUAGCUGGUUUGAGAGGAUGAUCAGCCACACUGGAACUGACACACGGUCCAGACUCCUACGGGAGGCAGCAGUGGGGAAUAUUGGACAAUGGGCGCAAGCCUGAUCCAGCCAUGCCGCGUGUGUGAACAAGGCCUUCGGGUUGUAUAGCACUUUCAGCGACGAUGAAUGGGUGUGUGUUAAUAGCACAUAUCUUUGACGUUACUCUCAUAACAAGCACCGGCUAACUCCGUGCCAGCAACCUCGGUAAUACCGAGGGUGCAAGCGUUAAUCGGAAUUACUGGGCGUAAAGCGCACGUAUGCGGUGUGUUAAGUUGGAUGUGAUAUCCCCGGGCUCAACCUGGGAAUUGCAUUCAAAACUGGCACGCUAUAGUAUGUGAGAGGGGGGUAGAAUUCCAAGUGUAGCGGUGAAAUGCCUACAGAUUUGGAGGAAUACCAGUGGAGAAAGCGGCCCCCUGGCACAAUACUGACGCUCAUGUGCGAAAGCGUGGGGAGCAAACAGGAUUAGAUACCCUGGUAUUCCACGCCGUAAACGACGUCUACUAGCUGUUCGUGGUCUUGUACUGUGAGUAGCGCAGCUAAUCUCCACUACCUAGACCGCCUGGGGAGUACCGUCGCAGAUUUAAAACUCAAUGAAGUUGUACCGGGAGUCCCGCAUCAAGCGGUCGAGCAUGUGGUCUAAUUUCGAACGCAACGCGAAGAUCUUUACCUUACUUCUUGACAUCUAGCGAAAGUCUGGCAGAGAUGCCGAUGUGUCCUUCAGGUACCGCCUAAGAAAAGGUGCUUGCAUGUCUUGUCCAUACACUUCAUGUCUGUGUAAUGUUUGGAUUAAGUUCUGCUAUGAACGGCAAGCCUAUUCUUUACUGCCACACGGUAUAGGUGGUAAUCUCUAGGGUAACUGCCGGUGAUAACGUAGAGUGGAACACGUUCAGAGUCUUCAUGGCCUA
Molecule: ribosomal RNA, 1191 nt
Filed under: Rheinheimera aquimaris
Lineage: Bacteria; Pseudomonadati; Pseudomonadota; Gammaproteobacteria; Chromatiales; Chromatiaceae
Description: bacterial SSU rRNA
Rfam family: Bacterial small subunit ribosomal RNA
Source: RNAcentral